GCCAGUAUGGCAUAGUGGUUCAAGUGCCGGAUUAUGACUCUGGAGAUCAGGGUUGAAAUCCCGGCUCAGCCA
Molecule: non-coding RNA, 72 nt
Organism: Phrynosoma platyrhinos (Desert horned lizard)
Lineage: Eukaryota; Metazoa; Chordata; Lepidosauria; Squamata; Phrynosomatidae
Source: the annotation of a GenBank genome assembly